RNAcentral lists this ribosomal RNA (427 nucleotides) under uncultured bacterium. Its description in RNAcentral is "partial 16S ribosomal RNA". It matches the Rfam family "Bacterial small subunit ribosomal RNA", at positions 354 to 796 of the family's 1533-position model. The record is from RNAcentral.
GUGGGGAAUAUUGGGCAAUGGGGGAAACCCUGACCCAGCGACGCCGCGUGAGGGAAGACGGCCUUCGGGUUGUAAACCUCUUUUGUACGGGAAGAAGGAAGUGACGGUACUGUACGAAUAAGUCCCGGCUAACUACGUGCCAGCAGCCGCGGUAAUACGUAGGGGACGAGCGUUGUCCGGAAUUACUGGGCGUAAAGGGCGCGCAGGCUGUGCUGCAAGUCAGCUGUGAAAUGUCUGGGCUUAACCCGUGCAUGCGGUUGAGACUGCAGUGCUGGAGUGCUGUAGAGGCAAGUGGAAUUCCCAGUGUAGCGGUGAAAUGCGUAGAUAUUAGGAGGAACACCAGUGGCGAAGGCGGCUUUCUGGACUGUAACUGACACUGAGGCUCGAAAGCCAGGGGAGCGAACGGGAUUAGAUACCCCGGUAGUCC